This 1546-nucleotide ribosomal RNA is filed under the name Candidatus Poribacteria bacterium. Its description in RNAcentral is "bacterial SSU rRNA". It matches the Rfam family "Bacterial small subunit ribosomal RNA". The record is from RNAcentral. Lineage: Bacteria; Candidatus Poribacteria.
ACGGAGAGUAUGAUACCGGCUCAGAGCGAACGCUGGCGGCGUGGAUUAGGCAUGCAAGUCGAACGCGCACGACGGGAGCUUGCUCCCGUACGGCGAGUGGCGAAAGGGUGAGUAACACGUGGGUAAUCUACCCCGAGGUUGGGAAUAACGUCUGGAAACGGACGCUAAUACCGAAUAUCGAUACCCCCUCUCAUGUGGGGAUAUCGAAAGGCUUCGGCCGCCUUGGGAGGGGCCCGCGUCCUAUUAGCUUGUUGGUGAGGUAACGGCUCACCAAGGCUCCGAUGGGUAGCCGGUCUGAGAGGAUGGUCGGCCACACUGGGACUGAGACACUGCCCAGACGCCUACGGGCGGCUGCAGUCGAGGAUAUUUGGCAAUGGGGGAAACCCUGACCAUGCGACGCCGCGUGGAGGAUGAAGGCUUUCGAGUUGUAAACUCCUGUGAUCGAGGAAGAACUAUCCACUUCGGUGGACUUGACGGUACUCGGUCAGAAAGGGCCAGCUAACUGCGUGCCAGCAGCUGCGGUAAUACGUGGGGCCCAAGCGUUGCUCGGAUUUACUGGGCGUAAAGGGCGUCUAGGCGGCCGGUCAAGUCGCGUGUGAAAUUUCUACGGCUCAACCGAGAAACUGCACGCGAUACUGAUCGGCUUGAAUGCGGUAGAGGGAAGCGGAAUUCAAGGUGUAGCGGUGGAAUGCGCAGAUAUCUUGGAGAACACCGAUGGCGAAGGCAGCUUCCUGGGCCUGCAUUGACGCUGAAGCGCGAAAGAUGGGGUAGCAAACAGGAUUAGAUACCCUGGUAGUCCCUUCCGUAAACGAUGAGUGCUAAGUGUGGGAACCAUCGGAGUUCCCGUGCUGCCGCUAACGCAUUAAGCACUCCGCCUGGGGAGUACGGUCGCAAGGCUAAAACUCAAGGUAAUUGACGGGGCCCCGCACAAGCGGUGGAGCAUGUCGCUCAAUUCGAAGCAACGCGAAGAACCUUACCAGGGUUUGACAUCGUCUGGACCGCUCUCGAAAGAGGGUUUUCCCUUCGGGGACCGGAUGACAGGUGCUGCAUGGCUGUCGUCAGCUCGUGUCGUGAGAUGUUGGGUUAAGUCCCGCAACGAGCGCAACCCUUACUCUUAGUUGCCAUCGGGUAAUGCCGGGGACUCUAGGAGGACUGCCGGUGAUAAACCGGAGGAAGGUGGGGAUGACGUCAAGUCCGCAUGGCCCUUAUUACCCUGGGCUGCACACGUGCUAGAAUCGUCGGUACAGCGGGUCGCUAAGCCGUGAGGUGGAGCUAAUCCCUAAAAGCCGACGUCAGUUCGGAUUGCAGUCUGCAACUCGACUGCAUGAAUGACGAAUCGCUAGUAAUCGCGAAUCAGCAGGUCGCGGUGAAUACGUUCCCGGGGCUUGUACACACCGCCCGUCAAGCGAGGAAAGUUGGGAGCAUCCGACGUCGGUUCGCUAACCCGUAAGGGAGGCAGCUGCCUAAGAUGAGCUCGAUGAUCAGCGCUAAGUCGUAACAAGGUAACCGUACCGGAAGGUGCGGUUGGAUCACCUCCUUUCUAAGG